Molecule: ribosomal RNA, 468 nt
Filed under: uncultured bacterium
Lineage: Bacteria
Description: partial 16S ribosomal RNA
Rfam family: Bacterial small subunit ribosomal RNA
Source: RNAcentral
GACGAACGCUGGCGGCGUGCUUAACACAUGCAAGUCGAACGGAAAGGCCCUGCUUUUGUGGGGUGCUCGAGUGGCGAACGGGUGAGUAACACGUGAGUAACCUGCCCUUGACUUUGGGAUAACUUCAGGAAACUGGGGCUAAUACCGGAUAGGAGCUCCUGCUGCAUGGUGGGGGCUGGAAAGUUUCGGCGGGUGGGGAUGGACUCGCGGCUUAUCAGCUUGUUGGGGGGGUAGUGGCUUACCAAGGCUUUGACGGGUAGCCGGCCUGAGAGGGUGACCGGCCACAUUGGGACUGAGAUACGGCCCAGACUCCUACGGGAGGCAGCAGUGGGGAAUAUUGCACAAUGGGCGGAAGCCUGAUGCAGCAACGCCGCGUGCGGGAUGAUGGCCUUCGGGUUGUAAACCGCUUUCGCAUGUGACGAAGCGUGAGUGACGGUAAUGGGUAAAGAAGCACCGGCUAACUACGUG